GCAAGUCGAACGAGUUCUCGUUGAUGAUUGGUGCUUGCACCGAGAUUCAACAUGGAACGAGUGGCGGACGGGUGAGUAACACGUGGGUAACCUGCCCUUAAGUGGGGGAUAACAUUUGGAAACAGAUGCUAAUACCGCAUAGAUCCAAGAACCGCAUGGUUCUUGGCUGAAAGAUGGCGUAAGCUAUCGCUUUUGGAUGGACCCGCGGCGUAUUAGCUAGUUGGUGAGGUAACGGCUCACCAAGGCGAUGAUACGUAGCCGAACUGAGAGGUUGAUCGGCCACAUUGGGACUGAGACACGGCCCAAACUCCUACGGGAGGCAGCAGUAGGGAAUCUUCCACAAUGGACGCAAGUCUGAUGGAGCAACGCCGCGUGAGUGAAGAAGGCUUUCGGGUCGUAAAACUCUGUUGUUGGAGAAGAAUGGUCGGCAGAGUAACUGUUGCCGGCGUGACGGUAUCCAACCAGAAAGCCACGGCUAACUACGUGCCAGCAGCCGCGGUAAUACGUAGGUGGCAAGCGUUAUCCGGAUUUAUUGGGCGUAAAGCGAGCGCAGGCGGUUUUUUAAGUCUGAUGUGAAAGCCCUCGGCUUAACCGAGGAAGCGCAUCGGAAACUGGGAAACUUGAGUGCAGAAGAGGACAGUGGAACUCCAUGUGUAGCGGUGAAAUGCGUAGAUAUAUGGAAGAACACCAGUGGCGAAGGCGGCUGUCUGGUCUGUAACUGACGCUGAGGCUCGAAAGCAUGGGUAGCGAACAGGAUUAGAUACCCUGGUAGUCCAUGCCGUANACGAUGAAUGCUAGGUGUUGGGAGGGUUUCCGCCCUUCAGUGCCGCAGCUAACGCAUUAAGCAUUCCGCC
RNAcentral lists this ribosomal RNA (854 nucleotides) under uncultured bacterium. RNAcentral describes it as "bacterial SSU rRNA". It matches the Rfam family "Bacterial small subunit ribosomal RNA", at positions 57 to 873 of the family's 1533-position model. The record is from RNAcentral.